Long non-coding RNA from Oncorhynchus tshawytscha (Chinook salmon), 366 nucleotides. NCBI's taxonomy places the organism in Eukaryota, Metazoa, Chordata, Actinopteri, Salmoniformes, Salmonidae. The record is from Ensembl.
AACCCGUACACACAGGUACAGACAGCUUCAACACAGUCUGCAGGCCCUAACCCAUACACACAGGUACAGACAGUUUGCAGGCCCUAACCCGUACAGACAGGUACAGACAGUCUGCAGGCCCUAACCCAUACACACAGGUACAGACAGUCUGCAGGCCCUAACCCGUACAGACAGUCUGCAGGCCCUAACCCAUACAGACAGGUACAGACAGCUUCAACACAGUCUACAGGCCCUAACCCAUACAGACAGGUACAGUCAGUCUGCAGGCCCUAACCCAUACACACAGGUACAGACAGCGUCAACACAGUCUGCAGGCCCUAACCCAUACACACAGGUACAGACAGCUUCAACACAGUCUGCAGGCCC